RNAcentral lists this transfer RNA (542 nucleotides) under uncultured Prochlorococcus sp. RNAcentral describes it as "partial 16S-23S ribosomal RNA intergenic spacer". The stretch from base 212 to 284 matches the Rfam family "tRNA". Lineage: Bacteria; Bacillati; Cyanobacteriota; Cyanophyceae; Synechococcales; Prochlorococcaceae. The record is from RNAcentral.
CAGGGAGACAACAAAAUGUUUAAUAUUAUUAUUUUGUCACCUUAGGUCGAUCGGUAUCUCACGUUUUUAAUUUAUUAAGAAUUUCAUUUCCUAAGUUUUUCUAGGUCACACCCAUUAUUUUUCCUGGGCCAUUAGCUCAGGUGGUUAGAGCGCACCCCUGAUAAGGGUGAGGUCCCUGGUUCAAGUCCAGGAUGGCCCAUAUCUCUAUGUUGGGGGUAUAGCUCAGUUGGUAGAGCGCCUGCUUUGCAAGCAGGAUGUCAGCGGUUCGAGUCCGCUUACCUCCACUGAUUACCACCUCUUCCAUAACCGGUAGUAAGGGAAUGUUUUGAGUUGUGAUCAAAUUCUGAAAGAAUCUAGCUUCCUAAUGAAAUCAUUAAGAUGCUGGACUCAUUGAAUUAAUUUCAUUGUUUUCAGAGAACCUUGACAACUGCAUAGAUUAUUUUUAAAGACAAUAAGCAUCUUUUAAUGAUGCAGAUUUAUUAUUUGUGCGAAUGCAUUAAUAACAAUUCUAUUAAGCUGAUGCUUCAAUUUUUGAAGUUAUU